Molecule: ribosomal RNA, 1650 nt
Filed under: uncultured eukaryote
Lineage: Eukaryota
Description: SSU rRNA
Rfam family: Eukaryotic small subunit ribosomal RNA
Source: RNAcentral
AUUAAGCCAUGCAGUCUAAGUUUAGCACAUUGAUGUGAAACUGCGAACGGCUCAUUAAAUCAGUUAUAAUUUACUUGACAGUCACCUUACUAUCGGAUAACCGUGGUAAUUCUAGAGCUAAGACGUACUAAAAGCCCUUUGCGGGGCUGUAUUUAUUGGAUUCAAAACUGGUGGCCUUGUGCCGUGGUGAUUCACAAUAACUUUACGGAUCGCAUGGCCUUGAGCCGGCGACGUUUCAAUCAAAUUUCUGCCCUAUCAACUUUCGAUGGUAAGGUCGUGGCUUACCAUGGUGAUAACGGGUAACGGGGAAUUAGGGUUUGAUUCCGGAGAGGGAGCCUGAGAAAUGGCUACCACGUCCAAGGAUGGCAGCAGGCGCGCAAAUUACCCAAUGCCGACACGGCGAGGUAGUGACAGAAAAUAACGAUGCGGGGCCGCAAGGCCUUGCAAUUGGAAUGAGAACAAUUUAAAUCGCUUAACGAGUAACGAUUGGAGGGCAAGUCUGGUGCCAGCAGCCGCGGUAAUUCCAGCUCCAAUAGCGUAUAUUAAAGUUGUUGCAGUUAAAACGCUCGUAGUCUGAGAUGGGGUGAGUGGUGGGGGGUGUUGUGAAAUAUCCUUCAUCGCGCACUCGUUCUGACAGCAAUGUCGGGGUUACUUUGAGGAAAUUAGAGUGUUUAAAGCAGGCUUAUGCUUGAAUACGUUAGCAUGGAAUAACAUGAUAGGACUUUGGUUCUAUUUUGUUGGUUUGAGGACCAAAGUAAUGAUUAAUAGGGACAGUUGGGGGCAUUAGUAUUCAAUAAUCAGAGGUGAAAUUCUUGGAUUUAUUGAAGACUAACUAAUGCGAAAGCAUUUGCCAAGGAUGUUUUCAUUAAUCAAGAACGAAAGUUAGGGGAUCGAAGACGAUUAGAUACCGUCGUAGUCUUAACCAUAAACGAUGCCGACUAGGGAUCGGUGGAUGUCGCUUUUGACUCCAUCGGCACCUUACGAGAAAUCAAAGUUUUUGGGUUCUGGGGGGAGUAUGGUCGCAAGGCUGAAACUUAAAGGAAUUGACGGAAGGGCACCACCAGGAGUGGAGCCUGCGGCUUAAUUUGACUCAACACGGGGAAACUUACCAGGUCCAGACAUAGUUAGGAUUGACAGAUUGAGAGCUCUUUCUUGAUUCUAUGGGUGGUGGUGCAUGGCCGUUCUUAGUUGGUGGAGUGAUUUGUCUGGUUAAUUCCGUUAACGAACGAGACCUUAACCUGCUAAAUAGUUACCUUUAUGCUCAUAGGGUUAACUUCUUAGAGGGACUUUGUGUGCAAGCACAAGGAAGUUUGAGGCAAUAACAGGUCUGUGAUGCCCUUAGAUGUCCUGGGCCGCACGCGCGCUACACUGAUACGUGCAACAAGCUUUAUCCUGGGCCGGAAGGCCUGGGCAAUCUUGUGAAACUUUGUCGUGCUGGGGAUAGACCAUUGCAAUUAUUGGUCUUCAACGAGGAAUUCCUAGUAAGCGCAAGUCAUCAGCUUGCGUUGAUUACGUCCCUGCCCUUUGUACACACCGCCCAUCGCUACUACCGAUUGAAUGGCUUAGUGAGGCCUACGGAUUUGGGCAGUGGCCGCAAGGCUGCUAGCUCGGAGAAGCCGGUCAAACUUGGUCAUUUAGAGGAAGUAAAAA